Molecule: ribosomal RNA, 468 nt
Filed under: uncultured bacterium
Lineage: Bacteria
Description: partial 16S ribosomal RNA
Rfam family: Bacterial small subunit ribosomal RNA
Source: RNAcentral
GACGAACGCUGGCGGCGUGCUUAACACAUGCAAGUCGAACGGAAAGGCCCUGCUUUUGUGGGGUGCUCGAGUGGCGAACGGGUGAGUAACACGUGAGUAACCUGCCCUUGACUUUGGGAUAACUUCAGGAAACUGGGGCUAAUACCGGAUAGGAGCUCCUGCUGCAUGGUGGGGGUUGGAAAGUUUCGGCGGUUGGGGAUGGACUCGCGGCUUAUCAGCUUGUUGGUGGGGUAGUGGCUUACCAAGGCCUUGACGGGUAGCCGGCCUGAGAGGGUGACCGGCCACAUUGGGACUGAGAUACGGCCCAGACUCCUACGGGAGGCAGCAGUGGAGAAUAUUGCACAAUGGGCGGAAGCCUGAUGCAGCAACGCCGCGUGCGGGAUGACGGCCUUCGGGUUGUAAACCGCUUUCGCCUGUGACGAGGCGUGAGUGACGGUAAUGGGUAAAGAAGCACCGGCUAACUACGUG